Molecule: long non-coding RNA, 1593 nt
Organism: Bactrocera neohumeralis
Lineage: Eukaryota; Metazoa; Arthropoda; Insecta; Diptera; Tephritidae
Exons: 4
Source: RefSeq, a predicted model, not a curated record
GUGAUCUUUUAUUAGCGGAAAAUGGAGAAAAAGAUAUGGACCAAAUAACACUCAUUUAGCAAUCGUGUCGUUUACAACAAUCUGGAUAGGGUUUGCUGUUAUCUUGUGGUAUCGUCUUGCAGUUCGGCGGUGGCAGGGACUCUGCGCAGCUAAAAGCAUCACAAUGGUAAAUCGCGCAUUCGCCAGGAUUCUCGAAGCUUUCACCAAUAGUAAACUGACGAUCGCCGAAUUCGCAGUCAGCUGUUUAAGUGCAAAAAUAUUUCGAUAAAUCGCCAAUUAGCAUAUUACUGUAACUUACCUGCCCGAUCAAGGUCACAACAGAGUAGUAGAAUAGCUGCGACUAAGAGAGGCUGCAACGCCAUUACUCAUGCGCAGUAGCAAUGAAUGUCUGAGCGGCACAAAGUACAAUAAGAAACUGUGCGAUUUGCGUUAGCUACUUUGCCUUUAUGUUUAAAAAUCAAUUUGCAUAUUUAAAACGUCGAUCUUUAACAUUUGAACAAGGUAGUGCAAGCGAAGAAGUCUAGGCGAGUUUAAUUUAUACUAGAAUAAAAAGAAAUAAUUUUACACUUGUGUGCAAUUUAAUAGCUUUUGCAGCUGUGAAAUUACCAUCAAAUUGCAAAUACUAUAAAAACAAGAAAAAACGUUAACUUCGGCUGCACCGAAGCUAAUAUACCCUUCACAGGUGCGUUUCUUUUAGUAACUAUGUGUUCAGUCUGUAUGGAAGCUAUAUGCUAUAGUUAACCGAUCUGAACAAUUUCUUCGGAGAUUACGUUGUUGCCUUAGAAAAUAAUCUGUACCAAAUUUGGUGAAGAAACAUUGUCAAAUGUGAAACUUUCCAUACAAGAACUUGAUUCCGAUCGUUCAGUUUAUAUGGUAGCUAUAUGUUAUAGUGGUCCGAUAUCGGCUGUUCCGACAAAUGAGCAGCUUCUUGAAGAGAAAAUGACGUUUGCAAAAUUUCAAAAGGAUAUCUUAAAAACUGAAGGACUAGUUUGUAUAUAUACAGACGGACGGACGGACGUACAGACAGACAGACGGACAUGGUUAAAUCGACUCAGCUCAACGUACUGAUCACUUAUAUACAUAUAUACUUUAUAGGGUCUCCGAUGCUUCUUUCUGGGUGUUACAAACAUCGUGACAAACUUAAUAUACCCUGUUCAGGGUAUAAAAAUGUAUAACCAACCUGUUUAUGUUAAUAUUCUUUACGGCAUUAUCGCUGUUAAACAAACAAGAAAUUACAGUUAAUUUUUACAAAGGAGCAAUCAAAAGAUAAAUAACUGCAAUUUAAUUUUUUCAGUAUUUUUAAAUAACAAUGACAUAGACAUACAAGAAAACAAUUUUUAUAGAAAAAAUUUAAAAAAUGAAGUUAUAAAAAGUUCGAUUACGAUGGUCAAACACUGUAAACAAUUUCCAAAAGUUUUUAAGCAAAGAUGGUUGGUGCUGGUUGUAUUAUCGGACAAAUACACGAAAAAAACACUCUCUAAAUGAGAUUAUGAUGAAAAAAAGCCUUCAAUUUUCAUUCUCCUCUGCCUUCCUAAUCUAAUCUUCCCAGGAAGGGGGUUUCAACAGCUAAAUUAAGCAAAUCGUUUUCCAGAC